Cydia fagiglandana is the source of this 407-nucleotide long non-coding RNA. RefSeq lists it as uncharacterized. The record is from RefSeq and is a predicted model, not a curated record. The transcript is spliced from 2 exons. NCBI's taxonomy places the organism in Eukaryota, Metazoa, Arthropoda, Insecta, Lepidoptera, Tortricidae.
AAGCGUUUUUUGUUUAAUAAAGGACGAAAUAUGUAAAGAAGAAAAUAAAAUGACAUUUAAUAUGUCUAUAUUGCAUGGAAGAAAAAGUAAGAAGAUUGGAGAAGAAGAUUCAAGAGCGUACGCGAUAAAAGCCAAAUGCGGUGGUCUCGUUGGCACGCGUUACAUAUAUGAUCGAUGGGGUCAUGUUCUUGGACCUUUUCAAGGUCUGCAAUCCUGCAUCAUCUAGAUCCCUAUCUCCGCCAGUGGCGUAGAGAAGUAGAUCUCGCUCGGAAUCCAGAUGUAAGCCUUGCUCUCCAAUAGCGCCAGCAUUCGAAUAAUUAUUUACACCUAACAUUCCGAAAAGGAACUAAUAAGAUAUAUAAUUAAGAACAUUAUAAAAGAAGUAUAACCCGGACAAGAUUAUGAAA